This 403-nucleotide ribosomal RNA is filed under the name uncultured bacterium. RNAcentral describes it as "partial 16S ribosomal RNA". It matches the Rfam family "Bacterial small subunit ribosomal RNA", at positions 30 to 526 of the family's 1533-position model. The record is from RNAcentral.
AUUGAACGCUGGCGGCAGGCCUAACACAUGCAAGUCGAGCGCGCGGCGGACGGGUGAGUAAUGUAUGGGGUCUGCCCGAUAGUGGGGGAUAACAAUUGGAAACGGUGGCUAAUACCGCAUACUGUCGGAUAUUCCUUUUGGGAGUAGCUAGUGGGUCAGGUAAUGGCUUACAUAGGCGACGAUCUCGAGCUGGUCUGAGAGGUUGAUCAGCCACACUGGGACUGAGACACGGCCCAGACGCCUACGGAGGCAGCAGUGGGGUAGCUUGCGCAAUUGGCGCAAGCCUUGUGCAGCGAUGCAGCGUGUAUGAGGAAGGCCGUAGUGUUGUAAAGUACUUUCAGUCGGGAGGCGUUACCGGCAGAAGAAGGACCGGCUAACUCCGUUCCAGCCGCCGCGGUAAUUC